RNAcentral lists this ribosomal RNA (496 nucleotides) under uncultured bacterium. RNAcentral's name for it is "bacterial SSU rRNA". It matches the Rfam family "Bacterial small subunit ribosomal RNA", at positions 899 to 1397 of the family's 1533-position model. The record is from RNAcentral.
ACUCAAAGGAAUAGACGGGGACCCGCACAAGCAGUGGAGUAUGUGGUUUAAUUCGAAGCAACGCGAAGAACCUUACCAGGGCUUGACAUCCUAAGAAUCCCCUAGAGAUAGGGGAGUGCCUUCGGGAACUUAGAGACAGGUGGUGCAUGGUUGUCGUCAGCUCGUGUCGUGAGAUGUUGGGUUAAGUCCCGCAACGAGCGCAACCCUUAUCGUUAGUUGCUACCAUUAAGUUGAGCACUCUAGCGAGACUGCCGGUGACAAAUCGGAGGAAGGUGGGGACGACGUCAAAUCAUCAUGCCCCUUAUGUCCUGGGCUACACACGUACUACAAUGGCCGUAACAACGGGAAGCAAUACAGCGAUGUGGAGCAAAUCCUCAAAUACGGCCUCAGUUCAGAUCGCAGGCUGCAACUCGCCUGCGUGAAGUCGGAAUUGCUAGUAAUCGCGAAUCAGCAUGUCGCGGUGAAUACGUUCCCGGGUCUUGUACACACCGCCCGU